CUAUACUCUGGAGAGUCUCAUAAACGAGCGCCGAAGGUGUAAGGCAGGAGUUAUCCCGCUGAUCUCUCAGGCAAAAGGACAGAAGU
This 86-nucleotide non-coding RNA is filed under the name human gut metagenome. RNAcentral describes it as "Glycine riboswitch". The stretch from base 7 to 83 matches the Rfam family "Glycine riboswitch aptamer", at positions 10 to 85 of the family's 94-position model. Rfam says of the family: This family represents the bacterial glycine riboswitch. Glycine riboswitches usually consist of two metabolite-binding aptamers domains with similar structures in tandem. The record is from RNAcentral.